AGGGGCAGCAUGGUCUUAGCUUGCUAAGACUGAUGGCGACCGGCGCACGGGUGCGUAACGCGUAUGCAACUUGCCUCACAGAGGGGGAUAACCCGUCGAAAGACGGACUAAUACCGCGUACACUCUAUGUUGGGCAUCCAAUGUAGAGGAAAUGAAUUUCGCUGUGAGAUAGGCAUGCGUCCCAUUAGCUAGUUGGUGAGGUAACGGCUCACCAAGGCGACGAUGGGUAGGGGAACUGAGAGGUUGAACCCCCACACUGGUACUGAGACACGGACCAGACUCCUACGGGAGGCAGCAGUGAGGAAUAUUGGUCAAUGGGCGAGAGCCUGAACCAGCCAAGUCGCGUGAAGGAUGACUGUCUUAUGGAUUGUAAACUUCUUUUAUACGGGAAUAACAAGAGUCACGUGUGACUCCCUGCAUGUACCGUAUGAAUAAGCAUCGGCUAACUCCGUGCCAGCAGCCGCGGUAAUACGGAGGAUGCGAGCGUUAUCCGGAUUUAUUGGGUUUAAAGGGUGCGUAGGCGGCCUGUUAAGUCAGCGG
RNAcentral lists this ribosomal RNA (540 nucleotides) under uncultured Porphyromonas sp. RNAcentral describes it as "bacterial SSU rRNA". It matches the Rfam family "Bacterial small subunit ribosomal RNA", at positions 65 to 594 of the family's 1533-position model. Lineage: Bacteria; Pseudomonadati; Bacteroidota; Bacteroidia; Bacteroidales; Porphyromonadaceae. The record is from RNAcentral.